GCACUGCUGAGGAGUCUCACAAUAGGAGGAAACAGUUGUUGAGUGC
This 46-nucleotide long non-coding RNA is filed under the name Entamoeba histolytica HM-1:IMSS. Lineage: Eukaryota; Evosea; Mastigamoebida; Endamoebidae. The record is from RNAcentral.